CCCUUAGAUGUUCUGGGCCGCACGCGCGCUACACUGAUGCAUUCAACGAGCCUAUCCUUGACCGACAGGUCCGGGUCAUCUUUGAAUCUGCAUCGUGACGGGGAUAGAUUAUUGCAAUUAUUAAUCUUCAACGAGGAAUGCCUAGUAGGCGCAAGUCAUCAGCUUGCGUCGAUUACGUCCCUGCCCUUUGUACACACCGCCCGUCGCUCCUACCGAUUGGGUGUGCUGGUGAAAUGUUCGGAUCGGCCGUUUGUCGCGGUUUCCGCGUCAUGUGGCUGAGAAGUUCAUUAAACCCUCCCACCUAGAGGAAGGAGAAGUCGUAACA
This 325-nucleotide ribosomal RNA is filed under the name uncultured eukaryote. Its description in RNAcentral is "partial 18S ribosomal RNA". It matches the Rfam family "Eukaryotic small subunit ribosomal RNA", at positions 1470 to 1796 of the family's 1831-position model. The record is from RNAcentral.